RNAcentral lists this small RNA (581 nucleotides) under Vigna angularis var. angularis. RNAcentral's name for it is "Non-protein coding transcript". Lineage: Eukaryota; Viridiplantae; Streptophyta; Magnoliopsida; Fabales; Fabaceae. The record is from RNAcentral.
CUUUCACAUUGUCUUUCUCUUCUUCCUCUUCAUCUUACGAUGAAAGUUGUUUCGGAUGGCAUUGUUGUCGUGUUUGCCUUCUGCAUUGUACUUGGUUGUGGUUCGUUGGUAGUGGGGGAGGUGGCAAAGGUUAAGGAUGACAAGCAUUUGAUUCAUCCCCCUCAUCUGUUGGGGCCUGGGAUUAUCAAGAGAGGGUUUAAGCGCGGUGGAAUUGGUUUUGGUGGUGGUUUGGGAGGAGGAGGUGGCGUAGGUGGUGGUGCCGGGGGAGGAGGUGGUCUUGGUGGUGGUGGAGGUCUUGGAGGAGGUGCAGGUGGCGGACUUGGCGGGGGUGCUGGAUUUGGUGGAGGUGCUGGUGGAGGCCUUGGAGGUGGAGGUGGGCUUGGUGGUGGUGGUGGUAUUGGGGGAGGAGCAGGUGGUGGUGGUGGUUUAGGAGGUGGAGGUGGGCUUGGUCAUGGUGUUGGUGGCGGCAUUGGAGGAGGAGCAGGUGGUGGGCUUGGUCAUGGUGUCGGUGGUGGCAUUGGAGGUGGAGCAGGAGGCGGUGGUGGUUUGGGAGGUGGUGGUGGUUUGGGAGGUGGUGGUGG